Molecule: ribosomal RNA, 253 nt
Filed under: uncultured bacterium
Lineage: Bacteria
Description: partial 16S ribosomal RNA
Rfam family: Bacterial small subunit ribosomal RNA
Source: RNAcentral
UACGUAGGGGGCAAGCGUUGUCCGGAAUCAUUGGGCGUAAAGAGCGUGUAGGCGGUUCGGUAAGUCGGAUGUGAAAGCCCUCGGCUUAACCGAGGAAGUGCAUCCGAAACUGAGUAGCUAGAGUACGAAAGAGGGUCGCGGAAUUCCCGGUGUAGAGGUGAAAUUCGUAGAUAUCGGGAGGAACACCGGUGGCGAAGGCGGCGACCUGGGUCGAGACUGACGCUGAGGCGCGAAAGCGUGGGGAGCGAACAGG